RNAcentral lists this ribosomal RNA (467 nucleotides) under uncultured bacterium. Its description in RNAcentral is "partial 16S ribosomal RNA". It matches the Rfam family "Bacterial small subunit ribosomal RNA", at positions 28 to 507 of the family's 1533-position model. The record is from RNAcentral.
GACGAACGCUGGCGGCGUGCUUAACACAUGCAAGUCGAACGGAAAGGCCCUGCUUUUGUGGGGUGCUCGAGUGGCGAACGGGUGAGUAACACGUGAGUAACCUGCCCUUGACUUUGGGAUAACUUCAGGAAACUGGGGCUAAUACCGGAUAGGAGCUCCUGCUGCAUGGUGGGGGUUGGAAAGUUUCGGCGGUUGGGGAUGGACUCGCGGCUUAUCGGCUUGUUGGUGGGGUAGUGGCUUACCAAGGCUUUGACGGGUAGCCGGCCUGAGGGGUGACCGGCCACAUUGGGACUGAGAUACGGCCCAGACUCCUACGGGAGGCAGCAGUGGGGAAUAUUGCACAAUGGGCGGAAGCCUGAUGCAGCAACACCGCGUGCGGGAUGACGGCCUUCGGGUUGUAAACCGCUUUCGCCUGUGACGAAGCGUGAGUGACGGUAAUGGGUAAAGAAGCACCGGCUAACUACGUG